GAUGAACGCUGGCGGCGUGCCUAACACAUGCAAGUCGAACGAUGAAACCGCCCUCGGGCGGACAUGAAGUGGCGAACGGGUGAGUAACACGUGACCAGCCUGCCCCCCUCUCCGGGACAACCUUGGGAAACCGAGGCUAAUACCGGAUACUCCCUCCCCUGCUCCUGCAGGGGUCGGGAAAGCCCAGGCGGAGGGGGAUGGGGUCGCGGCCCAUUAGGUAGACGGCGGGGUAACGGCCCACCGUGCCCGCGAUGGGUAGCCGGGUUGAGAGACCGACCGGCCACAUUGGGACUGAGAUACGGCCCAGACUCCUACGGGAGGCAGCAGUGGGGAAUUUUGCGCAAUGGGGGCAACCCUGACGCAGCAACGCCGCGUGCGGGACGACGGCCUUCGGGUUGUAAACCGCUUUCAGCAGGGAAGAAUUCGACGGUACCUGCAGAAGAAGCUCCGGCUAACUACGUGCCAGCAGCCGCCGCGGGUAAC
RNAcentral lists this ribosomal RNA (483 nucleotides) under uncultured bacterium. Its description in RNAcentral is "bacterial SSU rRNA". It matches the Rfam family "Bacterial small subunit ribosomal RNA", at positions 28 to 524 of the family's 1533-position model. The record is from RNAcentral.